AUGUCCAUGUCGAGCCCGGUGCACGCCCGGAAGGCCCUCCACCUAGUCGCCAUGAAGGCCAAGCUGCAGAGCUUCCUCGGCCUCCGCCUCCUCCUCGUGGCCGCCCUCGCCGCCUUCCUCCUCCUCUUCUCCGCGCGCACGCUCUUCUCCUCCUCCUCCUCCCCCGGCCAGAGGUCCGCCGCCUCUCAGCUGCACCUUAGCGGCGCGGGCGACGACGGGUCGUGCUCCAAGCUGCCGGCGCCGGUGGCCGACGCGCUGGUGCACUACGCGACGUCGAACACGACGCCGCAGCAGACGGCGGCGGAGAUCGGGGUGUCGCUGCGCGUCCUGCAGCGCCGCUCGCCCUGCAACUUCCUGGUCUUCGGGCUGGGCCUCGACAGCCCCAUGUGGGCGGCGCUCAACCACGGCGGCCGCACCGUGUUCCUCGAGGAGGACGCGUCCUGGAUCGCCUCCGUCCGCUCCAAGCACCCGGGCCUCGAGUCCUACCACGUCGUCUACGACACCCGCCUCACCGAGGCCGACGAGCUCAUCGCCCUCCGGGACCACCCGGGCUGCACAGCGCAGCCGGACCUCGCCGCCGCCGCCGAGGCCUCCUGCCGGCUCGCGCUCCGCGGCCUCCCCGCCGCGUUCCACGAGGUCGAGUGGGACCUCGUCAUGGUGGACGCGCCCACGGGGUGGGUGCCGGAGGCGCCCGGGAGGAUGGGCGCCAUCUACACCGCCGGCAUGGUGGCGCGCGCGCGGCGGCCCGGGGACGGCGCCACCGACGUGUUCGUGCACGACGUCGACCGGACCGUGGAGGACAGGUUCUCCAAGGCGUUCCUGUGCGACGCGUACCUCGCCGAGCAGGUCGGCCGGAUCAGGCACUUCGUCAUCCCCAGCCACAGGGAGAAGCCCGGCACGCCCUUCUGCCCUCAGAAUUAA
Molecule: ribosomal RNA, 921 nt
Filed under: Triticum aestivum (bread wheat)
Lineage: Eukaryota; Viridiplantae; Streptophyta; Magnoliopsida; Poales; Poaceae
Description: partial small subunit ribosomal RNA
Source: RNAcentral